AGGACGAACGCUGGCGGCGUGCUUAACACAUGCAAGUCGAGCGGUAAGGCCUUUCGGGGUACACGAGCGGCGAACGGGUGAGUAACACGUGGGUGAUCUGCCCUGCACUUCGGGAUAAGCCUGGGAAACUGGGUCUAAUACCGGAUAUGACCUCCUAUCGCAUGGUGGGUGGUGGAAGGAUUUAUCGGUGCAGGAUGGGCCCGCGGCCUAUCAGCUUGCUGGUGGGGUAAUGGCCUACCAAGGCGACGACGGGUAGCCGACCUGAGAGGGUGACCGGCCACACUGGGACUGAGACACGGCCCAGACUCCUACGGGAGGCAGCAGUGGGGAAUAUUGGACAAUGGGCGAAAGCCUGAUCCAGCAAUGCCGCGUGCAGGAAGAAGGCCUUCGGUGUAAACUGCUUUGUACGAACGAAGAGGCUCGUUUCUAAUAAAGAGGACCCAUGACGGUACCGUAAGAAUAAGCACCGGCUAACGUACGUGCCAGCAGCCGC
This 493-nucleotide ribosomal RNA is filed under the name uncultured soil bacterium. RNAcentral's name for it is "bacterial SSU rRNA". It matches the Rfam family "Bacterial small subunit ribosomal RNA", at positions 26 to 518 of the family's 1533-position model. The record is from RNAcentral.